UGGCCCAUAAUUUUUUAUAUUUAAUUUGGCAUGUAAUACAAAGAGAUGGUGUGGAGAAAUGCAAGAGUCUUCAUUAAGAAGGACUCUUCCUUCUUAACGCAGACAAGUGGGCGCUCUUAAUUAUUUGGCAUGGACUUUUAGGAAUGGUAUGGAGGACUCGUUUCUCACAUAAAACUCUUCCAAGUUAAGGCAAGAAAAUAACUUAAUUUAAUUAGAUUCAAGGCUAUAGGUUAAGUCUAGC
Molecule: long non-coding RNA, 241 nt
Filed under: Elaeis guineensis (African oil palm)
Lineage: Eukaryota; Viridiplantae; Streptophyta; Magnoliopsida; Arecales; Arecaceae
Description: long non-coding RNA (EGUI_LNC043247)
Source: RNAcentral